Molecule: ribosomal RNA, 239 nt
Filed under: uncultured bacterium
Lineage: Bacteria
Description: partial 16S ribosomal RNA
Rfam family: Bacterial small subunit ribosomal RNA
Source: RNAcentral
AACGGAGAGGACAAGUGUUAUUCGUAUUGACUGGGUGUAAAGGGUACGUAGGUGGUUGUUUAAGUUAAGAAUGGAUUUUAUAAAUUCUUAAUACUAUACGGCUAGAGUUAUAGGGAGGAAUGCGGUACUCUUGGUCUAGAAGUGACAUUCGUUUAAAAUCAGGAGGACCAACAAUAGGCGACGGCUGCAUUCCAUUUGUAUACUGACACUGAGGUACGAAAGCGUGGGGAGCGAACGGG